UACGUAGGGACCAAGCGUUGUUCGGAUUUACUGGGCGUAAAGGGCGCGUAGGCGACGCGGUAAGUCACUUGUGAAAUCUCUGAGCUUAACUCAGAACGGCCAAGUGAUACUGCAGUGCUAGAGUGUGGAAGGGGCAAUCGGAAUUCUUGGUGUAGCGGUGAAAUGCGUAGAUAUCAAGAGGAACACCUGAGGUGAAGACGGGUUGCUGGGCCAACACUGACGCUGAGGCGCGAAAGCCAGGGGAGCAAACGGG
This 253-nucleotide ribosomal RNA is filed under the name uncultured bacterium. RNAcentral describes it as "partial 16S ribosomal RNA". It matches the Rfam family "Bacterial small subunit ribosomal RNA", at positions 524 to 776 of the family's 1533-position model. The record is from RNAcentral.